GUGUUUGGCACCUCGAUGUCGGCUCAUCACAUCCUGGGGCUGAAGUAGGUCCCAAGGGUAUGGCUGUUCGCCAUUUAAAGUGGUACGCGAGCUGGGUUUAGAACGUCGUGAGACAGUUCGGUCCCUAUCUGCCGUGGGCGCUGGAGAAUUGAGGGGGGCUGCUCCUAGUACGAGAGGACCGGAGUGGACGCAUCACUGGUGUUCGGGUUGUCAUGCCAAUGGCACUGCCCGGUAGCUAAAUGCGGAAGAGAUAAGUGCUGAAAGCAUCUAAGCACGAAACUUGCCCCGAGAUGAGUUCUCCCUGACUCCUUGAGAGUCCUGAAGGAACGUUGAAGACGACGACGUUGAUAGGCCGGGUGUGUAAGCGCAGCGAUGCGUUGAGCUAACCGGUACUAAUGAACCGUGAGGCUUAACCUUACAACGCCGAAGGUGUUU
RNAcentral lists this ribosomal RNA (435 nucleotides) under Escherichia coli. Its description in RNAcentral is "partial 23S ribosomal RNA". It matches the Rfam family "Bacterial large subunit ribosomal RNA", at positions 2514 to 2925 of the family's 2925-position model. The record is from RNAcentral. Lineage: Bacteria; Pseudomonadati; Pseudomonadota; Gammaproteobacteria; Enterobacterales; Enterobacteriaceae.